This 496-nucleotide ribosomal RNA is filed under the name uncultured bacterium. Its description in RNAcentral is "partial 16S ribosomal RNA". It matches the Rfam family "Bacterial small subunit ribosomal RNA", at positions 28 to 507 of the family's 1533-position model. The record is from RNAcentral.
GAUGAACGCUGGCGGCGUGCCUAAUACAUGCAAGUCGAGCGAACAGACGAGGAGCUUGCUCCUCUGACGUUAGCGGCGGACGGGUGAGUAACACGUGGAUAACCUACCUAUAAGACUGGGAUAACUUCGGGAAACCGGAGCUAAUACCGGAUAAUAUAUUGAACCGCAUGGUUCAAUAGUGAAAGACGGUUUUGCUGUCACUUAUAGAUGGAUCCGCGCCGCAUUAGCUAGUUGGUAAGGUAACGGCUUACCAAGGCGACGAUGCGUAGCCGACCUGAGAGGGUGAUCGGCCACACUGGAGCUGAGACACGGUCCAGACUCCUACGGGAGGCAGCAGUAGGGAAUCUUGCGCAAUGGGCGAAAGCCUGACGGAGCAACGCCGCGUGAGUGAUGAAGGUCUCGGAUCGUAAAACUCUGUUAUUAGGGAAGAACAAAUGUGUAAGUAACUAUGCACGUCUUGACGGUACCUAAUCAGAAAGCCACGGCUAACUACGUG